AUUGAACGCUGGCGGCGUGCCUAACACAUGCAAGUCGAGCGGUAACAGGUGUAGCAAUACAUGCUGACGAGCGGCGGACGGGUGAGUAACGCUUGGGAAUCUGCCUGUUAGUGGGGGACAACCCGGGGAAACUCGGGCUAAUACCGCAUACGCACUACGGUGGAAAGCCGGGGACCGCAAGGCCUGGCGCUAACAGAUGAGCCCAAGUCGGAUUAGCUAGUUGGUAGGGAACGGCCUACCAAGGCGACGAUCCGUAACUGGUCUGAGAGGACGACCAGUCACACCGGAACUGAGACACGGUCCGGACUCCUACGGGAGGCAGCAGUGGGGAAUAUUGGACAAUGGGCGAAAGCCUGAUCCAGCGACGCCGCGUGGGUGAAGAAGGCCUGCGGGUUGUAAAGCACUUUCAGUAAGGGAAGAAAUGCUUGAGCUAACACCGCCAAGUUUUGACGUUACCUACAGAAGAAGC
RNAcentral lists this ribosomal RNA (469 nucleotides) under uncultured bacterium. Its description in RNAcentral is "bacterial SSU rRNA". It matches the Rfam family "Bacterial small subunit ribosomal RNA", at positions 29 to 491 of the family's 1533-position model. The record is from RNAcentral.